CUCCGUCCCUCCUUCCCCUUCUUUCCUCCCGGCUUCCCCACCCCAUGCCUGCGACAGCCCGGGUCCGACGCAGAAACGGAUCACCUCCUGCCCACCGGGAGCUCGGACCCAGAGUCAUUUCCCUCCUGCUAAGGGGGCCGGGGCACCAGGAGGGCAGGGCUCCCCACCAGAGGGAACCCGGCUGCGGCUGGGGGCUGGGGGCCGGGGCCUGGCCGGGGGCCCAGCUGCCUUGCAUCUCGAGGUGGAGGAGAGAAGACUGACUGCAAACGCAUCCCGGUUCCCACGCCUCUGGCUCCAUAUCCUGAGCGCUGGGAUCCCCCAGGACGCUCCCUGGCGCCCCCCAGGCCCCUGGGCCCAGGGCCUAGCCGCCCUGCCCCUUGGCUCAGCUGAGCUUCUCAGGCUGCAGGAGGCCAUAGAGGCCUGCUCCUGAUGUGUCGUCUGUGAGCGGGGAGCUGGGCAGAGACGCGCACAGUUGGCUCCCGCGAGCCCGGGCGAGCAGGUGCCGGCACGCC
This is a long non-coding RNA of Lynx canadensis (Canada lynx), 512 nucleotides long. RefSeq lists it as uncharacterized. Lineage: Eukaryota; Metazoa; Chordata; Mammalia; Carnivora; Felidae. The record is from RefSeq and is a predicted model, not a curated record. The transcript has 4 exons.